AAGGCUCCUGUCCAAACAUGUGGCAGUUUAUUCCUUUUCUGAAAUGAUGAUGCCAGUGACUAUUUAUUGAGUAUUCAUUGGGUGCCAGGCACGCCACGUGCAAAAUUUCAUUGAAGUCCCAUGUUGGUCUCGAUGAGAAAGCUGAGACUCAGAGAGGCUAAGUGACUUACCUGCUGGAACCCAGCCUUCCCUGCCCAGGUUCUUGACCUCCCUUCACCUGAGUAUCGGUCAGGAUGGCUGGGGGCAGCACUCUGAAAUCUCUAAUGUGCACACAGAUCCUCUGAGGCAUCCUGUCCAAUUGCAGAUUCUGAUUCAGCAGAUCUGAGGGGAGCCCAAGAUUCUGCAUUUCUAACAAGUUCCCAGGUGAGGCCAACGCAGCUGCUCUGCAGGCCACCCUUUCAGUGUAAAGGGACUAGAUGAUGCAGUAACAAACAUCCCCCAAAUCUCAGUGGGUUAAAAUAACAAAGACUCCUUUCUUGUUCAGCACAGCUGAAUGGAGGGCUCCACCUCAUAUCCUCCUCACCUUAAGAACAAGGAUAAUAGAAGAGCUCUCAUUUGGAAUACAGACACUCAUGAUGGCAAGAGAAAAAGACUUCUGGGGAGGUCUUACACCCACAAGGAAAUGCUCCCGUGAGGAAGUGAUGCAUGUUACUUCUGUUUGAAGUUCACUGGCUAGAAUUAGCCACAUGAUCCCACCCAAUCACAAGGAGGACAGCGAUCAUCUACAGCAUUUGUGAAAGAUGGAAAGGGAGGAAUAUUUGGUAAGCAUCGGUAAAACUAUCACGACCUGCCUACAAGAUCAUCCAUCAAAUAUUUAACAGGUACUUCUUAAGCAACCAAUACCAAGUGAGGUACCUUACUCUGUGUGGUAUUUAAUAAUUCUUUGUUCCCUUUCACAUUAACUCUAGCUACUUCAACAAUAAAAAGGAAAACAAUUGAAUAAUUGAAUGUAUGGCAAUUUAGACAUGCACGCACACACACACACACACACACACACGCAAAUAUCAAAAGUUUUGCAACUUUAAAAUAUGCAGUGAUUACAAAUGAGAUUUUUUGACGUAUGCAAAAUUUGAAUUGCACAAGACUUUCCAAAAUAAAACUAUUGCAUAAGCUGGGAGUAUCCUUGUUUCGUAAAUGGAAAUGAUUCUGUAUGCAGAGUUUUGCAUAUUGCUUGUAUUUUCUAUCAUUUUGUGCUCAUAGUUGUCUGCAUCUUGGGUUUUACAGACUAUAUCAUUUUCUCAGGCUAUUAUUUACAAUAUAUUUAAUCAAUCAUCUGUUGAAUAUUUAGUUUUGUUUCGACCCUUUUUUUGGCUAUUAUUUUCAACAGUACAAUGACUAAGCUGUUAGCCAAAUAUUUCUGCGUAUUUAUAUUUAUUCCUUUAGAAUGAAUUCCUAGAAGUGAAAUUACUCAAGCAAAGAAUAUUAAUACUUUUAAGGGUUUUGAUGUAGAAUAAAAAUGUUGUAAUAAAGCUAUGUCAAUUCAGAAUCCCAUCAGCAUUAUAUGAAUGUCCAUUUCAUCAAACCCUGACAAGAAUGGGAAAUAGGUUUUAAUUGUACAUUUGAGAGUCAAAUAUAUUAUUGCAAUUAUAGCUUGUGUUUCUUUGGUAACUAAUGUGUAUGAAUAUUUUUUAAUAUUCAUUAGUGAAUUUUUUCUUCUCUGUCAUUUAUUAGUUCAUGCCCCUUUUACAUUUUAUUUUCCUUUUGAGUUUUAGAGCAUUGCUUAUGCUAGGAUGACUUUAUGUAAAAAGGCACUUAACACUUUGCUUAACAUAUAUGUAGCUAAAAUUCUUUCCAAGUUGUCUCUUGUCGUAUAGUUGUCUUUUUAAAAAUAAAUAAGCAUUAUUGUAGGAGAUCUGAAUUGGUGGAGAACUUAUGGGAGUAAUUUGACAAUAUGUAUCCCAAAUUUUGAAAAGCUAAUAUUCCUUGACUAAGCAAUUCCAUUUCUAGGAAUUUUUCUUAAGGAAAUCCACAUGAAUGUGGAAAAAUAUUUAGGUAUCAGGUUAUUCCUUAUAGUGUUUCAAAUGAUAGCAAAAAGAGGUCUUUAUUUUAUUUGAGGCCUACCCAUUUUAUCUUCCUCUAUCUUCCCCUUUUAUUGUUUGCGUAUUUAUUAUGUCUCAGCUACUGCACUAGAAGAGAAAAAGCUGUCAUUUUAGUACUCUUUUGGGUUUUUUUUCCCCAUGGUUAAAAAUGGUGUAUGGAUAAAUAGGUAAAUAGAAAGAUAGGUGAAGAGAUAGAUCAUAGAGGAUAGAUAGAUAGAUAAUGGUGAUAAUAGAUGAUGGAUAGAAGUAAUAGAUGGAAAGAUAAUAUAACAGAUGAUAUAUAGCUGAUGGGUAGAUGAUUGAUAUAUAAUAGAUAAGUACACGAUAGAUGAUGGGUAGAUAGGUAGAUGGAUAGGUAAUAGAUACAUGGUAGAUAAUAGAUAGAUGAUAGCUAGCUAGCUAGACUGAGAGAUAGAUAAAUACAGAUCAGUAUCUUUGACGCACCAGUUCUCCACAUUAAAUGUGCAUCAGAAUCACAUGCACAGUGCUAGUCACUUAGACACAUCUGGGCUCCUCCCCCAGAAGGAAUGAUUCAGUUGAGUUGGGUGGGGCCCUCCUCGGUGGAGGAAAGAACAUCAACAGUGCUCCUGGGAACAGAAGCUGAUUAUCAGAGAGAACAAAUAAGAGGGCAGCUUAAGUCCCCAAUGAGGUAGAAAGCUACAGAGUAAAUUUUCAAGUUCCUGCCUAACUUAGAAUAGAGCCCACACUCCUCAGUCUGGUCCCAGGCUCUCCCACCCCCAACUCAGCCCCAGAACAAGGGUCAGAGCUCACCUGUUCCCCAGCUCUCCAGCCUCAGUGCCCCCAGCUCUGCUGAUCUUUGAUUCUGCCAGGCCAGUUACCUCCCCAGGGCCUUUGUUCUACUGUUCCCUCUGCCAGGAUGCUCUUACCUGAGAUGUGACCAUCUCUAUUUAACACUCAGCUCAAAACUCACAUCCUCAGAGUUAUACCCUCCAUGGCUCCUCUACUUCAAAGCACCACCCUGAUCCCCUGUAACCAGGUGUGCCUCAUGGCCAUGACUCUGGGCUCUCUCUUCCAUCCUUCCUCCAUGGCUCAGUCCUCUCCAUCCUUUGUCUCACUAAGGCUCCCCCUAACCUCCUCAGGCCCUGCUAUAAGUUGUCAGUAACUCAGCUCCUUCUAGUUCAUCUCCAGAUGGGACCACGGAGUUGACAACACAUUACCUUCCAAUGGCUUCCCUUUCCUCCUAACCCAUAUCCUAUGUGUCAUUAUGCUGGAAGGUGAUACAUCUCCCUGCCUUUUGUUGUGCUACCAAACACCCCUUCCAGUCCCCCAACUUUAGUAUAUGACAAGCUAGAGUGGAGCCAGGGAACAUAUUGGUCCCAUACAUGAAUUGUCUCCCUGAUCCCUUGACAACUCAGAGUGAGAUUUUGUUUCUUUCCAUAAAAAAUAAGGCAGCAUAUGUGGUGGUGAGAGAUAUUAGCUACACUUAACUGUGGUGAUCAUUUCACUAUAUUCAGAGAUAGUCAUGAAGGCUGAGACCUUCUCCCUCCCAUCAAGGAUCUCUCAGGCACGUCCAAUUCACCACAGUCCCCACCACUCCCUAGUGUUACCCUUAGCUUGCCUCACUCAUUUCAUACUCCUGAAAACAUUUGAGAUUCUGAUCUCUGUUGUUGAAAUUGUUAAGGAGUUUGGAGAAGGUUUGAAGCAGGGUAGUGGCAGAAUCUGUCUUAUUGUUUAUGGGGGAAACAGAUGCACAAUCCCAGUAGAGUUACCUAAGUGAUAUUUGAGCAACUUGGAUGUGCUUGGUCCUAUUUAGGUAAUGGACACUGAUCUGAGUGCUAUGAUAAGGGUGAGACAGGUUGCCCUGGGAAGGUACCAGAGCAUCUCUUUCCUCAGUCUGUGACUUCCUAAUGGAAGGAGGUGACUGAGUGAGCUAAAAAAAAAAAAUCCAUAAGGGUUAAAAUACUAGGUGAAGAAACAGGAGUACAAAUCUCAGGGUGAGGUCACAAGGGUAUUCAAGGAACUAUGAGUAGUUCAGCCUAGAGGACAGAGGGUGAUAAGAGUGAAGACUAUGGAAAGGGAAGUACAUGCCAGGGUUUCUAACCUGCUAAUCCAGAGGCCAGAUAUGACCCAUACACAUGCAUUUUUUGGACUCAUGUCAAGACCAUUUUGGAAAUGAUUAACAUCUUAAAAUUAGCAGAUUUCACGUAAAGAUAUCCAACUUAUUUUUUAAAUGGAGAACAUCUGACUAUACUGAACCCACAUUUGCAUAUGUCAGCCAUGUACUGGGGCCCAGUAACUGCUGGUUCUUGUCUUUCCAGUUUGCCACAGUCCCCACCCUUCUCUAUUGUAUUCCACCUCACUUAUGUAUGUACUUUGAUUGUACACAUGUGUGCUCCCAACAAGGAUGGAGAAAUGAACAAAAGCUAGAUUCCCAGACCCUUGUAGGCUAUGGUGAGGAGUUUGGCUUUUAUCUUAAAGCCCAUGAGGAUCUGCCAAAGCAUUUGCAAGAGAAAAACAAUUGGAUUAUUUUCUGGUUUGAAAAAAAAAAAACUCUCCUAUGGGUACAUAUAUGUUCACUAUGGGCUGUUCAUGCAGUAUAUAGCUCCAAAUUGAAAACUACCCAAAUGACAUAAAUGACAAAGGAGAAAUACUUGAGGUAUAUUCACACAAUGAAUCUCAUGCAGCUUUUAAAAUGAAUGAUAUACUGAUGUACAACUACCCAUAAUAACAUGAAGAUGCUCCUCAAAACAAUACUGAGUGCAAGAAGCAUACACAGAAGUAUGCAUACUUUAAAAUUCCUUUCAGGUAAGAAUAAAAAUGGGAAUUCCUGUUAUGGUGCAGUGGGCUAAGGAUCCAGCAUUGUCUUUGCAGUGGCUGGGGUCACUGCAGAAGCAGGAGUUCAAUCCCCAGCCCAGCAUAAUGGGUUAAGGACCUGGCACUGCUGCAGUUGGUUACAGCUGUAGCUUGAUUCAGUCUCUGGCCUGGGAACUUCCAUAUGCUGUGGGUGAGG
RNAcentral lists this long non-coding RNA (5010 nucleotides) under Sus scrofa (pig). RNAcentral describes it as "lncRNA (ENSSSCG00000061417.1)". Lineage: Eukaryota; Metazoa; Chordata; Mammalia; Artiodactyla; Suidae. The record is from RNAcentral.